This 299-nucleotide long non-coding RNA is filed under the name Brachypodium distachyon (stiff brome). RNAcentral describes it as "long non-coding RNA (BDIS_LNC005057)". Lineage: Eukaryota; Viridiplantae; Streptophyta; Magnoliopsida; Poales; Poaceae. The record is from RNAcentral.
CUCUUCCCCACAUUGCUGCUCGCCCGGAGUCCUACCUCCAAGCGAUCCAAUGAAACCGUGCACCACCCCGACGAUUCGACAUCCGAGGAGAAUUGUGAAGAUGAGAAAAAGGCAAGGACCCGAUCAUCUACCCCCAUUACUCAACCCAAACUGAAGCCAAGGUACCUUCACGUUCCACCAAAUCAUAUUGUUUAGUUUUCUGACCCCCUCUUUAUACGAAUACUAAGAACAGGGUGGGAAACGGUGAUUUAUGUAUGCAGUCAUUCCGAACAAGACCAUGGAGGGUCCUGUUUUGCCAA